GAUCGUCAUUUAUAUAUAAAGGUCAUUUAUAUAUAGAGGUAUUUAUUGAUGUAAACAUUAAUUCAAAAUAGUGAAGAUGUAGUCAGUUGAGCUUUGGAUCCGUAGACGUAGGGCUUCGGCCUGAACCACCUUGUGUUCGUGAAGAUAUAGCCAGUUGGGCUUUGGAUCCAUGGACGUAGGGCUUCGACUUGAACCACCUUGUGUUCUCUCUUCUUCUCUCUCCUUGAACCAUGGAUCUGUGGACGUAGGGCUUCGGCCUGAACCACGUUGUGUUAUCUCUUCUUCUCUCUCCCUGAAUCAUGUCUCUUUGCUUUUUCUUCUUCUCUCUCCCUGAAUCACGUUGUGUUCUUUCUUAUUCUCUCUCCCUUUUUCAUUGUAUGCUCCCUCGAAUUCUAACAUGGUAUCAAAACCAAGCUUUUGCAGACACCGCCAUUUUCGACCAGCGUUUGGUAAGGUGUUCUCUCUUCUUCUCUCUCCCUUAUUCAUUUGGUAAGGUGUUCUCUCUUCUUCUCUCUCCCUUCUUCAUUGUAUGCUCUCUCGAAUUCUAACAUGGUAUCAAAACCAAGCUUUUGCAUAUACUGCCAUUUUCGACCAGCGUUUGGUAAGUCGAUCUCUUCU
This 618-nucleotide long non-coding RNA is filed under the name Amborella trichopoda. RNAcentral describes it as "long non-coding RNA (ATRI_LNC004828)". The record is from RNAcentral. Lineage: Eukaryota; Viridiplantae; Streptophyta; Magnoliopsida; Amborellales; Amborellaceae.